This is a long non-coding RNA of Felis catus (domestic cat), 409 nucleotides long. RefSeq lists it as uncharacterized. The transcript is spliced from 2 exons. The record is from RefSeq and is a predicted model, not a curated record. NCBI's taxonomy places the organism in Eukaryota, Metazoa, Chordata, Mammalia, Carnivora, Felidae.
AGUCGCCCUCUCGAUGCAGAUAGAGGAGUUCGGACUACAACUCCCAGCAUGCCACGCCCCAGGAACUGCCCCUGUACGCCGAGAAAACAAACUCGCAAGGACGUUUUGGGAAAUCACAAAGCAGAGGCUGUGUUAUGAGAUGGGGAGCUCCCCUCACUAACCACUAACCAGCAGAAGCCGGACAGAAGAAAUUCCAGUAAUGGAGGAAAUCCAGUGGUGGGGACAAAGCAAAGAGAAAACGUGGACCUUCUGCUCAAGACUAGCUCAUUCCCACACAGAAAACUCCAGAGGCAAGCAGAGAUCCCUGGAAAUUGUGGAUCACAGUCUCAGAAUGAAGUGACCAAAAUGUUUUAUCAGUUCUGCCUCAGAUUUGAUUAUUACAGCACUGCAAAUAAAAACCUUGUUCUCA